GCCCGGUUAGCUCAAUCGGUAGAGCGUGAGACUCUUAAUCUCAAGGCUGCGGGUUCGACCCCGCAUUGGGCU
Molecule: transfer RNA, 72 nt
Filed under: Parascedosporium putredinis
Lineage: Eukaryota; Fungi; Ascomycota; Sordariomycetes; Microascales; Microascaceae
Rfam family: tRNA
About the family: Transfer RNA (tRNA) molecules are approximately 80 nucleotides in length.
Source: Rfam by way of RNAcentral